CUCUAAGGUGACUGACCGGCGUAAAAGUCGGAGGAAGGUGGGGGAGUGACGUCAAAUCAUCAUGCCCCUUAUGACCUGGGCUACACACGUGCUACAAUGGGCGGUACAAAGGGUCGCGAACCCGCGAGGGGGGAGGCCAAUCCCAAAAAGCCGCUCUCAGUUCGGAUUGCAGGCUGCAACUCGCCUGCAUGAAGCCGGAAUCGCUAGUAAUCGCGGAUCAGCAUGCCGCGGUGAAUACGUUCCCGGGCCUU
This 251-nucleotide ribosomal RNA is filed under the name uncultured Anoxybacillus sp. RNAcentral's name for it is "partial 16S ribosomal RNA". It matches the Rfam family "Bacterial small subunit ribosomal RNA", at positions 1138 to 1382 of the family's 1533-position model. Lineage: Bacteria; Bacillati; Bacillota; Bacilli; Caryophanales; Anoxybacillaceae. The record is from RNAcentral.